Molecule: long non-coding RNA, 19000 nt
Organism: Falco peregrinus (peregrine falcon)
Lineage: Eukaryota; Metazoa; Chordata; Aves; Falconiformes; Falconidae
Exons: 3
Source: RefSeq, a predicted model, not a curated record
CAGGCGGGCAGGCCUUACCCUUGAGGUACCGUCAGUCACAAGCACCUUUAAGUCCAUACAGCCGUAUGGGCAAACAAAAGUUGGGGCAAGGGGUACCCACAGUUAAAAUACAAACAGGUGAGAACAUAACAGAGUAUGUUGCUCGAAUUGGUGGAGCGUAAGAUACUAAAAAUGCUGUUCAGUCUGGAGGUUCCUUGUGUGCUUGUGUUUUUGUUGAGGUUUUUCAUAGCCCUUUACCCAGCAGGUUAAAUAACAUAAUCAAACACAUAAUCAACUGUGCCAAGCCUUUACUAAAUAAAACGUUCCUGUUCCUUUCAGUGCGACAUUGCAAAACUGCUAGACAAGGCCUCAACUGGGCAGUGAAGCUGUGGUUGCUAAAGAUGACAGUCCUGGAGCACAGUGCCACAGAGAGCUGCGUUUUCACUCACCUCAGAAUUUGCAUGUGAAAAUCUCUGAAUCAAAAGUGGUCAAGAUCCAGAAGGAUAAGGGAUGGCUGAAUGGAAGCUGGAGCGCAGCAGAUAGCUGGUCUGUGACAGAGCCUAACAGAGGUGAGACAAGAUACAAGACAUGAAAACCAGCUUCUGCAGCAGCAGUCCCAGUUGGACUGUUGUGAUUUACACAGCAAUCAAGGCUGUGGGGACCAGUGACUGACACCCGGCUACUGACCUGAUCUUUGUCUCUAGUGGAGCUGAGAACAACGGGCAGCUUAAAAGGAGGAGAAGAGCUGAAAUUCCUCAAUGCUAAACUGUCUGUAAUAUCGAAAGAAAGAAAUUGAUCUCUCUCUGCUUCUCCCAUCUAUAAAACUGAAAUAUUCCUGCUUAUAUAGGCUCAGGGCAGUUCUCAUCAGAAGUGGUAAACCUUAGUAACUACCCCUUAGUCUGCAGCGAUGCCCCUUAGGUUUCACACUGAGUCAGACCCUGGCAUGAAUAAUAGCAGCUCUAAUGCUAUUCCAGUUGAAGCAAUGGAUACAACUCUUUGGCUCUGUAGCUUUACCACGUCAUGAGAUUGGAACUAUUCAUGACAAACGGGAUAGUACUAACAGUGAGAGCUACAGCCCCAAGCAGGCUCCAGCAAAGGAUGUAACUGAGCUUCCCUCAGCUCUCAGUUUUAAGGGUUUAGCCAGAGAUUCUGACAAGCAAUACAGAGCUACAAAGUUAUGUCCGCUGUUCAGCAGCACCUAAAUGGGAGAAGGGGAGCAGCAACUGAAAGACAUUCAGAAAUGCCAGUGAACUCUCUACUUUUUUUUUUUUUUAAGCCACCCAGAUUUCUGUUUGCUCUGUGCAGUCAGAUCAGAGCAAAGCAGACAGGCUAAGGCUGGGCUUCACAAGUGUUGAAUAAUACUGGUUUUAACUUUGGAUGACAAAACGUUGUCCAUUUUCCUUUUUUAAAGGAAACAGAUAUAGAAGCACUAGCAGUUACACAUUCUAAGUACUUUCUAGGUCACCUUUCUACUAACAGAUCAGUUAUCAGAUUUGAACUAUUUUCUUACAAAGUAGUUACACCAAAUAUCUGUCACAGCCCAUACGUGCCUUUGUAGGGAUCUACAAAGUACAUGAAAGUAAAAUAUGCCCAAAUAUAGUACAGUAUAGUAGUUGGAUAUUCCAGAAGUUUAGGAGUAUUCUGGCACCUAUAUUUUAAAUCUUGUGACAGAAAAUGUGUAAGUAUUGCCAAAGCACAAAAGAACACAAUUUUUGUUAUCAGAUAUCCAAUGGAUUUUGCACUGUGUGAACAAGUUGUGGACAGCUGACAAAAUUACUCUAUAUUUCACUUCUUUUGACUUCAGAGAUCAGCCUUCUUCCAUCUGGAAUACCAUUAUUUUCAGAUUAGUAUUUUGUACCUGAACUUCAGCAAUGGAACUAAAACCAGUCAAAAUCCUUUCUAUUACAUCACAAAUCAUACUCAGCAUUAAUUUGAUAUGGUGCAGCACAGAGACAUCUACAAGUAGUGACAGAUUCAGUACUACCCAUAACACAUUUUUAUGUCAUAUACUUCCAUAGUCUGCAUAUGUAGAUGGUGUGGAUUUCCUGGAAUUUUGAUGUACACAUUAAGAUUUCUAUUUAAAGUAUUUAUUUCACAUGUUUACUUGCUUUGCUUAAUAUGUGAGGACCUACUGUUAAAUUUAAGAUUUGCUGAAUUAGGUUCUAAAUUUCUUACACUUUCAACCAAAAUAGCUGACAGUCUUAACCAUUUGUGGCAUGUUAAAUAGCUAUUAGAUAGUGGUCCUCAGGGACAAUCUAAGACAUCCUCUCGUUCAUAAUAUGUUAAUGUCCCACAAGCUUUUUGAGCAGUGUAAGAAUUUCAAAUACUGACUCUCAGCAUUUGACCUAUUGGUUGAAUCUAAUUAUGUCUGUGAAUGGCAUCAGAUAGAUCAAAUAUAACAAAGGAAUAGUUAUAAAUGCUUGUGUAACACAGCAAAAAGGCUUCCUGAGAUAAAUCUCUAGGCCAGCAUAGGCAAAGCUCCAAUAACGUGGCCAAGAAACUGCCAAUUAAUUGCAGUUACUAAUCAACUGUAUGCUAUUAUUUGUAGUGCUAAAAAUAGAACUCCUGCUAGAAAGAUCUAGACGAGAAACAGGAAUACAGCAUAGAGCCUGUUUUCAAAGUAGGUGUUGCAAAGUAUCUACAAGAUACGUUGUAUCUUCCUUUAUCACCUGCUCAAUGCAAGAAAGAAAUGCAGUGUUUCAUGCUGGGAUUUAUAAUCUCGGUGGACUGUACCAUGGUAUCAAAGAUUAAGUCAGCUACCAUCUGCUCCAUUUUAUGCAAAAUAGAUGUGGCCCUUGAACUUCUGGCAAUUUUCCAAUUCAAUCCUCCAUGCCGAUUUCUAACACUCCUGCCUUACAGGAUAUCCUAUUAUUCAGCUCAGACAGUAAAUUGUACUAUUCAUGGUCAACUAUUUGUUGACCAUGUACACUGUGACACAACGGCAGGGCAGAAAGGUAUCUACUCUUGUCUGUUUUUAAAAAAAAAAACAACUUAGGAGAAUGUUCUGAAACUGUGUGUGUCUGUGUGUAUAUAUAUAUACUUUUCAUUAUAAUGAAACAAAUUCAUUCUUUACCAUCAGGUUUCUGCAAGUGUUACAGGAGUGCUUAGUUACUAGGUUUUACUCUUAACUGUUGAUUAUUUUUUUUAAAUACACAAAUCCUGUUGCACUGUUAACUUAAAAUUAAAGACGAAAAGCUUAAAAAGGUGAUCAACAUACAAUUCAAGCAAGAAGCCUGAUGCAAAUGAACAUUUAGCAAACUCAGCCAUAUCACUGCAGUGAACAAAUUUUGUUUUUAUAGAGAAUGUGCAGAAUUUGCGUUUUCAAGAUAGCAUUCAACCUUGGUAAUAUAGAAGGAUAAUUUGUCUGAAUUGUCAAUAACUCUUGAAAAUUUUAGUUAGUUAUAUUUUUCCAUUUAUUUUUAUUCUGGCAUUUUAUUACCUGGGGCUAAGGUAAUACUUUGUAGUUACGGUUAGAAAAAAAUUUGUAAUACACAUAUAUAUAUCUCUUCAGAGAUUCCAGAUGUGGUCAAACGCUGUGGCCCACUGUUUGGUGUAAUGCAAGUUAAAAUUGUGUUUGCUCCAUUUCAAGUAUGUGAAACACGUUACUGACAUUUGGUUGCACAGAAAAUUCACUUGUGCUUGGUUUUGCAUUUAUUAAAAAUGAGCAACAGAUUAUUUUCCCAAAAGUCACACCCUGAUCUGCCUGUAAUAUUUUUUUAUUAUUUUAAAAUGUUGGAGCAGAACAUGAAGUAUAGCUCUAAAAAGCCAUAAAUAUCCUAAAUUACAUUUUUAAAUUUUACUAUGUAUUGUCAGGAAAGACAGGAGUCAAGAAUAGCAAGCAUACAAAGGUGAAAUUAAUUCACCUUUUGAACUCUCAAUGUGCACAUAUUUAAGAUUUGAUCCUAGUAGUCCUAAACAUUUUAUCAAAUCCAGGGAACCAUUCGUAUUCAGAUAAAGUCUGUGAUAGCAGGGGUUUCUUAUCUUCAAAGGAAGAGAGAAUUCAGAACCUCAAUACAAAGAGAAAUCCCAUGCUUCUGAUAAGAACUGUAAAUCUUCCCUUUGAAGACUGACACUAUGAAGAAUUCCUGCUUAAAGAAGCCAAAGCAAUAUUUUAACCAACAAUGUCUGGACUUAGAUGUCAUACCCUACAAAAUGCAAAAAUUUUUAGGAGAAUAUAUGCUAGAAGGUAGAACUUAUCUGAACUAAAGCAGUUACUGUAGCGGACUCAACUAGAACAGUAGCAAUGCUGGAAGUGGCAGUCUAAACAGAACUCCCAUGGUUACUGCCAUUAUCAAUUUGCUGUCAUUUCACUCUCAUCAUAGAGACCUUUAUGUCACAGUGACUAACAAUAAAGGAGCCCACAGCACUCCUGCAAGUGACUGCUGGUUUGAAGGACUGAUGGCUUUUCAAAGACAUUCAUAGUUUAGCUCCUUAUGAUGGAUUUCAACAUGAUGCCAAGAUUUUAAUUUUGCAGUGCAUUAAAUAAAAAAGCGACCAAAUAAAAAGAGCGAAGUGUUAGCUAUACUACAGGUAAUACACCUCUCCUCUAUGGAAUUUUUUUUGCAGAAUGUUUACUUUGCAGACUAUUAUCUUGACUGACAACAGAAGUUCUAAGACUCAGGUAGGUCCAGGUGCAUAUUUACUGUAACUUCUCUCAAAUGCUGUUAGUCUGUUGUCCCUUUGUUAAAUGUUAAGUCAAGAAGUCUGUAAAUGCUACAGGGCAUGGCAUGCAUAUACUUUGCAGGACAAGUAAGAGACUCUGCUGCCUUUUCUAUAUACUUGUUAGAUCCUGGAACUGAAAGGGAUGCAACAGCAUUUGGGAAGAUUCCAAGGAGACUGUAUAAUUUUUCUCUAAUGUUAUCCUCCUGCUACCUCAUUCACUUCCAAAAUUACAUUUUUGACCUUUAAAUUUUUCCCCAACUUCCUUCCAAGAAAUGUUUGAGCCCACAGGACAAUUUUGAAAAUGUUUAUCGUCAAAAGUUACUAACUGAACUUACUUUAAAGGGGAACAUGGCUGGCAAACACAACAGAGAAGUUAUUUUUCCCCUAUAAUGAUUUAGCCUUUGAUGCAUAGACAGAUGGUCAUGAUCUCCUCCUCCUCCACCCAUGGAUUUUUCUAAAAUGACACCCAAGUUUUUCUUGGCAGCAGUUAGAAAAUCUGGCAAACAGCUCACUUCAGCUCCAAUUAUAUUGACCACAUUAAUGCAAAAGAUCAGCAAAUGAAAUGUUCCAUAUUCAUUUGGAAGAGAUGAAUUAAAAUUUGCAAUGAAAUAAGAUAAAUGCAAAUGAGAAACAAAUGCCAGCUACUUGCAUCCACCCUUGUAUCUAAGGAUUUACUGUGACCCGUUUUUUUUCACUGAGAAUGAAUGCUUCUUGAAGGCACAGGGUGUUAAGUCUCUUGUAGUACUUCUUAGGGCAGUAACACUUUAUAGAACCAGAUUUCUGAGAAAUGUCUUCAUAGGCAGAAUAAUAUCCAUUUGCUCUGAGUAUUUUAAGGAAUACUAGAGAAUAACACUUGCCCUCCAUGCUCCAGGGACACCAACUCUUCAGAUGAAUGUUAUCUCUAUAUUUAUUAUCAAGGCUUUUCACACUUGCCUGUGCUUGUCACAAACUCUCCUGGGCACAGGAAAAGCAACCAGGAAUGUGACUAAUUCCCUAUUCAAGGGCUUCUAGCCGAGUAUUUUUUCCAAGGCAGUGUCUACCGUCCAAGGUACAUUUCUUUUACAAGGCAGAAAGCAAAUCUUGCUGGCAAUUCUUUUUCCACCCAGUUACAGGCUAAUUUCUUGCUACUACUGUGUGCUGUGGCAACCGCGUGUUAGCUCCUGUCUGCUAGUAACUGGUGGGCAGGUUUGUACAUCUCUACCAGUAUAUGGGCCAUUGCAAAUAGUUUUACCUGUGGCAGCUAAAUAGUGUUCUCUAGGGAAAGGUGUAUCUUUAGAAAGUUAUAUUCAAAUUACUUAUUCACCAUCUCUGUAGAAGGGGCAGUAGGUAGAAUAUGUUUAACCUCUGCUGUAUAUAUACGUAUGUCUCAUUAAAAAAAAAUUGUAUAUAUUUGUUCUACUGAAGUAUAAAUACCAACAAGUUACAUCAGUCAAGAUGCCUUGUGAUGACAAUUUUUUGCUCUACCCAGGUGCCCAGACCAUCUCUAAUUCUGGGUCUGAUUCAUCAGCAUGAAUAAUAUAAAAUGAAUUGUGCUCAAAGUAUUCACAGUUCUGAGCUAUUUAAAAGACAUUUGUAAUUCUUAGAUACUGAGCUAUCAAACCAAAAACUUCUGAUCAUUCUGCUUGGCAGAAAAAAAAAAAAUCUGUGCUUGUGUAACUAUGCUUAGAACAAAUAGACCUGGGAAACUGUAUACCAAGUUCUAGCAUUUGUAUUCACACAUACUACAGCAAAGUUAUGAAUUGAAUAUCUUAUUUCAGGUCUGUGAAUAUUUUAAGGAAAUGUCCAGCAUUGAAUCAUAGACAACAGGAUUUGAAAUGACAUGUUAAACCUAAAGCGUGUCCAGUGCUACUUUUUCAUCAAUUCUUAUCUUUGCCAUAAAUAUCACACCCUCCUACGCUGUAUAUAUUCAUUACACAGCUGCAGCUCCUCCUCUAAGCUAGCUAACACAGCUGUAGCUAUAGAGUGCAGACCAGAUGGCCAGUCAAAACCCUGCUUCCUAUUGUCUGCAAAACACAAUAACCAUUACCAAUAGUCUCUGCUUCUGAGCCCACACCUUGUGUGUUUUAUAUUUCCUCAGUCAAAAACUGGCCUGGAUCACACAUUCAACACCAUCAUAACUUCCUUAGGGACUUUUUCUACUGUUUGAUUAGCAUCCUCAACUCAUUUUCCCUCCUUUUUUUUUUGUAGUAGAAAAGUUUGCUUUCAAAACACAGUCCUUUUCACCUGUUUUAGCCACACUAGGCAUAGGAGUUCUGCAUUAACUCCUGAAGAUUUGACUAUUUCAGCAAAAGAGCAAAGAAAAAAAGCUUUUUUUUUUCCUUUCCACACUUUACACAUAUAUCAUUUCCACAAUAACAUAUAUAUAAAUUAUACACAUACUAGGAGUGAAUUCAGAAAUGGGGAGUUACAGACAGCACCCAUCUUACAGUAUGAAACAGGUUUGGCAGUUACUCUAAAGUAGUCAGUGGAAGUGUGGCCAUCAACUUGAGUCAGCUGUCAAGACUCAUGAAGGGGAAUAGUGGCAAUAGCAGCUUGUAAAAGAUAUGGAUAAAAGAGCUUGCUAUACUGGAAAGAUAAGAAAGGGGAUCAUUUUUCUGGGGGUAUAGGGAAGGAGGGGUCUUGGUGUAUUAAUGCCUCAUGUAACUUCAUACUAAUAGGACUGGCUAAAUACAUACUCAGUUUUUAUUAAGGCUGUAACAUUUGAAAUAGAUAAUACAUACAAUUAAUUCCAAUGGCAUAGGAAAAACAUUAAAAAUUACUGAUCAAUUAUUUGCUUAUAAAUUUUGGGGGGUUGAUUUUUUUUUUAGAACUGCUAUCCACUGAAAGGAGCUUGAAAAGCACGCUUAAAAAACCCCAACACAUUCUGCUCACAUUUGGAAGCAUAACAUCAAAAUCUCUAGUCUUCUGCAUCUAACUUUUUAAGUGAACUAUUUUUUUCUUGCAAGUUCUUUGUUAAACAAACGCAUUCCUCCAAGCCAGUACAACAGAGGCUUCUCUGUGCAGAUAAGUUUAACUCCAUAUUCUGUGCAAGUUUUAUUGCUAAUAAUCUGAUCACAUUUCAUGAGUCCAACUGGUCAUAAUACAAACCUGAUUUUCAUCAUGGCCUCUCUGCUGUACCUUUUGUUCCAUUUUCACAAGUGUGUGUGUGUAUGCAUAUAUAUAUGUAUCAGUCCCCUAGUAAUUUUCAAGUAUCAAUCACUUCAAAGGGCAACUGUUGCUAACCCCUGCGCUCAGCAGUUUUGGGUUUUUUUUAUACUGUUCCAUUUGAAGGGAAGCCAAACAUCUCUGUAUGGGUAGCUUUUGAAAUGGGGGGGAAAUAUUCCAACACAACUGAAUGACACAAUCUCUAACAUCUAGAAGAAGAAAAGAGUCUAAGGAAGCUGAAUUUUAAACUGUGUUUAUUUGGAAUGUGCAAAGACAAAGGAUGUUUUCAACCAGAAUGCUUGUGAUCUUCCUCAUACCCUUUUGUAAACCAGUAAUGCCUACAAAAGCUGUGCAGCAAGCAGCAGAUAGUGCUUGUCCUCAAAACAUUUGAAAGAGUAAAAGCACCUUGCUAACUCCAAAGAGAAUCUUCUCAGCAACACCUCCUGUGAAGCUCCUGCAGCUUUAUAAACUAGCUUGACUUACCAACAGCUGCCUAUUGAAGACCAGAGGGGAAAGCAUGCCCAUGGGGAGAGAUGCUGGCAGACAGUUCUGCCAGUGGCAAGGCAGCUAGCCCUGUUACCUCUCUGGCUCACUGUGCAGAACAGAAGAGGAGAGAUGUGGUCUCUCAUUUAGGGCAAUUCCAGGACGGUAACAUCUCAUCAGCCCAACUCUUUUAGAUUCCUUCUCAAGCACACCCAAGUCAGGAUAGAUAUGAAGCACUAAUGCAAUUUGUUUGAUUUUAUGUAGCUCAUUUUCACCCUUAGGCUAUGAAUAUCUAACAGCUUCAUACUCUCAGUGGUCAUGGGGCCUUGCCCUGUUGAAUCAAUUACAGUUAUCCAAUCUCAAAGUAAAAGACAUAAAUCAUGUGAUGGCUGCAUUAAAGAAGGUGGUCUAAUUACAGAAUCACAGAGUAGUUGAGGUUGGAAGACACUUAAGUUUAGUACAGUGCCCCUGCUCAAGCAGGGUCAGCUAGAGCAGGUUGCCCAGGGCCUUGCCUCCCAGAAUGGAGGCUCCACAAUCACUCUCAGCAACAUAUUCCAGCAUCCAGCCACCUUCACAGUGUUUUCUUGCAUUUAGAUGAAAUUUAACAUGUUUCAGUUUGUGCUUGUUGCCUAUUAUCCUGUCACUGAGCACCACUGAGAAGAAUCAGGUUUGUCCUGCUUAAAAAAAGGCAAGAUACAUUCCUGAUCCUUUUGAAAUGUAAUUGCUUAACAGCACCCGAAAAUACGAUCUGCCUCCACAAUGACAAACAUGGGUGAAAAAUGAUGGGGUAAACCCUCAGUCAUGAUUACAAGAAGAAUCUUCAUGCUGACCAACCUGAGCACUGCUUAGCAGUGCCUAUAGUAAAUCAACAACUGAUGAAGAGUAGCAUGAAAGACAGUAAUCAGCCCAGACAGUAACCUUCUCUGUGGCCAGGACAAAGGCACUCCUUACUGCAAGAAAUCUUGUUAAAAUGGGUAUGUAAUUCUUUGCUGUAGCAAAUUUCUGCUAGGUAGGGAGGCAAGAGGAACUGAAAGAGUACUACAAAGUAUCUGUUGUUGUAGUUCUGCUUUGGCUAUAGCAGAUGUCAGCAACCUGGGGAAUGCUAUAUCCUUCCUACUUAGCAGUGACCCAGAGUACUAGGGUCACCUUCACCAACCCUACCCUAGGGUGCUGUAGUCACUUCCCCAUUAAGAUCAGCAGUUAUAGGUGGUGAGCUGUUGCAUCCUGUUUUGCUCAUUUUCUACUUGGCUGUCAACCUUGUUUCUAGUCUUUCUUUACUGGCUGAGGAGCAUAAAGAAUUCAGAAACCUAGAGAAUCUGCCUUUGAAAUUGUUACCUGUACCCAGUGAAAUGCUAAGAACAGCUGUGUGAUGCAGCUAAAGUAGCAUCUAGUGAUCCUGCUCUGACUAGUCUUACUGAAAUUGUCCCUUUUUAUUCCAAGAAGGUUUUAUUAUGCAACAAAGGCAAAUUAAACAGCUGCCAGGUUUAAAUGGUGCAAAACCUAGAAAUCUGAUGCCACCCAUAGUUCUGAUACUGAAAAGUGAGCCAUGAAAAAAAAAUGACUGACUUUGCAAUCAUAAAGCCACUGCUCAAAACACUUAGAAAAGAUCUGCAAUUUCACAUUAACUCUUCCUUGUAUCCCAAAAAAGAUCAGAUUUUUCUAACUGUCGGGAAGCCCAGGUAAUUAUUUUUUUUUUAACAUGAAAAGGCCUGAUUAAAAAUGAUAUUUUUUAUAACUUCUUGAAAAAAAUAGAUAAACUUAACUUCAUGAAAAUAAGGAUUGCCAACACUUGCUUAAGUCAAACAGAGUUCAGGAAGAUACUGCGCAAGGUUCCCCCCAUGCAGUGCUGCCAAUUGAUUUCAGUUCUAGCUUGAAAAACACCUGCUAUUUUAGCCUUGGGCCUCUCCUUCCAUAGUAUUUUUAUAGCUUAGACAAAUACACACCACAUGUAGAAUCAAGUUCUCAAGUCCUCUUUUCUAGAAAGCACAAAUUAUAUUGAUUCUCAUAAACCACAACUGGGGAGGCCUGCAGAAGGGUGUGUGAAAAGAUUGUAGCUGGUUUGCAGUUGUCAAUAAUAUUCACAGACAGACUUUAGUGGUGUUUCAGUGUGAUCUGGGUAGUAUGUAAUUUCAAAUUAACCCUGAAAAACAACUAGUGGUUUUAUCACCACUUUCACAAACCCUGCAUACUUCAGAGCAUGAAGAUCAAAACUAAAGGAAUGCCUCCACUUACACGAAUUAGAGGCUACUUGUGUUCUUGUACUGCUUAUUUAGGCCGUUCUCUAGAUGAAAGAGUUUGAAUUAUACAGUAGGGUCUUCAUGAUGCACAAAGCCUCACAGAGUCUUAUGGACUAAGGUAACUGAAACCCGACAUAGAUUAGUCGCAUUUCCAUGCCUGUCUUAGCAGCUGUGAUUUUUUUCCCCAGUAACACUUCAGUAAGUGACAAAUUCUAUACAUAACCAUGCAUAUGUGAGAUAAAGCACUUGUUUGCCUAAUGCAAAGCAUACCUACCUGGAAUAGGCUACAAAUUCAGGUAGACAUCUAAACCUUUUAGCCCAUGGAAGAGAAUGUAGCUGCUUUAAUGUACAGUGAAUGAGAGGCUGAGACUGGGGCCACUAGAGAAGGGCCAGCUAUGUAGCAUCAUUAUUCAUCAGUCUUGCAUUAGGGAUAAAGAUAUAGUGGCAAAGAAACUCCACAACUGCUCAAUGUAUAGUUGCAAAUGAGCACUGCUAGUUUGUAGCAUAGUUGAUCUCUGACACUACUACUGCUCAUGGCAGAGAAAGAAUUCUUUUCUCCUUUGACUGCAGUAAAGAAGCUCAUGUAGACUUCAAGCUAUAUGAGAUACAGCAAACAUUGUUUUGAAUAAAAUGCUAUCUGCAGACUUAACAAUAAACCUCAGUGACAACAUGUUUGACAUAUUCUUGCAUUUAAUAUACUAUAGAAAAAUGGCAUCUCAAAAUUAUGACUCAUUCCUAACACCUCACUCAUAAAUAACUCCAUGAGACUGUGUAUGGACAAAAAGUUUUAAUUAGUAUUAAACUCUUUAAAAUGUUUUAGAAGUUGAAAUUGCACAAUGAAUGGACAAGGCAUGCCACCAUCCUGCUUAAAAAUAUCUGACAGAUAAUACGGAGAGCUUUGUUUUCUAAAAAACCCACAAUGUUUGUUCUGUUCUCUCACAACAGAAUGGGAAUGUAAUGGUCAAGACUUAAUGGCCAAGGCAGGUCUUAAUCAUGAAACACGUUUUUUUGCAGUAAUUGUUUCCCAGUAAUUGUCCCAUUGCUUAUAUUCUAAUGUAUUAUAAAAUAAACAUGUGUGUUUAUUAUAACUGUUGUCUCAUAUAAAAGUCAUCUCUCACUAUUACAACAGCAAUUACCUGAGUGGUAUCAUAUACUGUGUAAUCCUGCACUGGUCUGUGUAGACUCCAAAGCUACCUGAGGUUCUGAGGAAUGGGGUGCUAACAGCAAGGCCAGACAGUGACCAUCAGUCCAGCUGCAGCAUACUCUUCCAUCAUAAAAGGAGGGAAGGGUUUACUGAACGACAAGCUUUCCACAUUUCUAGCAAUACAGGAAUUCUUUUCCCAGUGUCUCUUUUUAGGCAUGCAGCUUAAACACUAUGGCAGGGAACAGCAAGAGCAGGUUGCUCCCUAAGGAAAGCUGAGCUGGCAGCUAAGGGGUGGUUACAGUGCAGACUGGGCAAGGACCUCACCAGCAGCAUACAGUUCCACAGCACCAGAGACAGGCAAGCAAAGCAGGAUAGCAACAGGAACAGGUCUUGUUAGUGGUCCAGUGAUCAUCAGGCAAGACAGGGUCCCACAUCCAUUAAGAGACACACUACAGCACUUCAGGAACAGAGCCAGCAGCAGGCCAUCUAAGACAUAUUUUAGGAAAGGAUUGAAAUGCCCAGCCUGAGCUUAAAUAAGAAUCCCUGUUCAAAGGUGUGGGGAGACCUCAGGUGAGGCUGGUCAGAUUAAUUACAGAGAGGUUGUUACUGUGCUCAGGGUCCUGAUGCAGAGCACACAGGUUUAUAUGACUGAUUUUUAAGCCUGUGUCUUUUUGUACAAUUAGCAACAUAAAAAGAAUACACACAUAGAGAAUACAGGAGAAUGGUACACAUGCUUCUCAUUCCCCAGAUUCUUUGUUACUCUGCAACAGCCUUUGGACAUAUAUCACAAUUCUCUAACAUACCCUGGAUCAUUCUUCUCCUUAAAAUGUUUGGCGAGUCAUUUAUGAACUUGAUUUCCUUUCUGAUAUGUGGUGCCCCAAAUGCUCAUGAGCUUUUAAGUCCCUUCAUAAGUGAUAAAUUGCCUUAUAACUACUCCAGAAUGUGACAGAAUCAAUUUUCUGCAUUUCUCUUGCUUUUCUGUCCAUGGAUUUUUAUAGGAAGCUCAUUUAAUUAGAACUAAAUCUAUAUGAAAGAGACCCUGUACUCAAGUAAGUACCUUGGAUGUGUUAAACACAAAUUUUGAUCUAAUAAAUAAUGUUUCAAACAAUUAUUUUCUAAUAUGUCUUUUUAAGUACCUUGUGCUAUAGUUAACAUAUAUAUGUAUGUAGUUAUGUAUGUACAUAACUAAUGCACAAGUGCAGUGACAUUCUCAUGCAUAAGUGGUCUGCCACAAAAAUUUGCAUUUAAUGAUGAAGGCACAAUAAUUCUAAGAAGCAAGAGUCUCCCCUAAUCAUAACACACUACAAGACAGGAAGGGAAAAAAAACCAAUACGAAAAGAAGACAAUCAUUGUCUACUUACACUAAUUUACAAAAUUAAAUGAACUAUUAAUCUUCAAAAUCAGUCAUGAGAGAUUUUUUAUUUAGGAGUAGAUAUUUGCUUUAUGUAUAAAGUGGAAGCAUGGAUUAUUUUCAUGUCCUCUCAUGCACAGGAGUGAAACUUUAUAUAUUGCCUAAAGCUUUAAACAUAUUCAGGUUGUACCUGACGAAGUGAGCGCAGUUUGGAGUUGAGCCCUUCAGCGUGGGUAUUAGCCAUAGUCAACAGCCAAGUUUAGUCCUAGAAGGUUUAGCAAAAGAGAUUUCUGGCAGUUGUUCUGCACCCAGCAAUAAUUUUCCCAGACAGCAAUGACUACAAGCAUAGGGAGCAGUCUACACUGAAAUCAGCACCUGUUAGAAAUACAUGUACUCUGCUGGAAAUUGGUAGCUACAGUCAGAAGCAAGAAGGUAAUCAGUGCAGACUCUACAGGCCAGUCAUUGAAUGCUUCCUGAUGCUGAAACAGAUAGGCUGUAUGCUUCUUGAAGCUUCUGUACUGCACUGCACAGAAAAAUAUUCAAUUGUAAUUAAUGAUUAUAGAAAUUUGCAUAGUAGUCCUAUAUCAAGUGCCAUGUGACCUUCAAUACGGAUUAUUAGAAAGGUACAAACCCUACCGGAAAUACUGGGUUUGAGAUAAGCAUAGUUUUGCUCAGUGUGGGUUGAAAUGAUAGACACUCUGAAACCAGUGCCUCUACAGGCAACUAACAGACUGGUAACCUCUUUUAAAAAUGUGGGUAAUAGUGGGAACUGCUUCCUAAGUUCCUGAAGGGCUAACAGAUAUCAUUAGGAAAAUUAAAUCCUACAAUACAGGAAAUAGGUCUCAGAGUAUAUUGCUUCAAAAGAGGAAAAUAUUUUUGCUUAUUGCCUCAUCUGUUUCAUUUCUAACUUCAUUGGCUUUUAAAAAUGUAUUCAGCCUUGUGAAUUAUUCUAUGAUGGAAUAUAUAUAUAUAUAAAAUUUAUUCUAUUAUACUGAUCUAUUUUCAGUGAGUGGAAUAAUUUAUUUUACAAAAUUAAACGAUAACAUUAUGGUGAUUCUUAAUGUAGCAUCUCUAAAGAAACAACUCCUUUUAAUCUUCACAGAAUACAUACAUAAUGCCCAUAGGAAUAAUUCAUAAAAAUAAAUCACAUUGACACAUUCCAUGAUAUCUUGUAAGGCCCUGCAGGGUGGCAGUGGCAGCAGCCACUUUUAUUUAGCAUGUGUCUAUUCCCCCAAAAGCUUUCUGUCCUAGUUUUAAUUUGGCUUUACAGCAUGCUAAGUAAAUUGUUUGGAUUUUUUUUCCCCUACAUUUGAGAGACUAUCUGAUAGUUCAUUGCUAACCUUUCUAAAGCUGACCAUAGGUCAGAAGCAUCAUCAUUCCCUCCUCUGUGAGAAAGUUCUAUGUACCUAUAGCAGAUUUUCAUGGGCAAUUUCUCUGCUGGUGUGAAAGCUCAAAAGAAAUGUUAAACCAACUAAUACGAAGAAUCAUAGGGAUCACAAGAUCACAGGACAGUUCACUUUGGAAGGGACCUCAGAAGGUCAAUGCAUCAAAUGUUAUACGCGGGGAUGACUAGCUAUCAUACAUACAGCAGAGCUAAGUCAGACCAAGAAGGUGGCACCGAGCAGGUCAUGAGACCAGUAUCAUGAAUAUCAUGAUAUAAAAGCAACAUUUCUGGUAUUCUUUUGUGUCACGGCAGUUAGAGUUGCUUACAUACUGAAGUAUCACUGUUUAUCAUUAACUGGUAGUCUGAAAAGUGAUCCCACGGGAAGCUUUUCUUGUCUCAGGAAGGUUCUUACAGGCUUCUUAAAACCAUUUUCUUGUCAAUCAAAAUAAAGGCUUUGAUAUGGAAAGCAAAAGCUGGACACCUCUUUUCAGCUUCAGCUAUUCUAUGGCCUUCUUCCCAGACUUGCAUCUAUGCUAAGUAUUACAGUUCUGGACCUCUUAGCCCUCUACCAUCCUGUCUGUGUAUUGUGUACCCUCUAAUGGAGAGGUGAAAAAAUAUAUUCUGAAUAUGUGAAAUGCAAAUAAGUAAUAACUCAUAGUAAACAUCUGCAAUGUUUUAUUUAUAAGCUACAAAUACCCAAAUAGCUGUAAAUUUAUUAGGAAGAUAUUUUCCUGUUUGUUUGGAGUUGUCCAAGAAAUGGCCUUGUCUCACAGACUAUGGAAUAAAACGUUUUUAUUUUUAGAUAUGCAUACCUCAUGCUAUUUUACUGUUCCAGUUUAAUCACUACAAAUGCAAUAUACAAAUACACAGCUGCAGUGUAAAUCCAAAGAUACCCAACAAACAACACCUCCCCCAACAAGCAGGUCUCACUUAACUGAUAUUCUAAUAGUUCCUCUUUUGUUAUUGGAUUUAAGGAGAGUUUAAAGGCUGUAUUGAUAUUGAGUUGCAACAUAUGUUUUACAGUGUUUCUAUAAUAUCAGGUAGAAGGUGUAACCACAGAAAGUGUUUCCUAUUGAAAUUAAUACAUAUUUUAAAACAUGAUCAGAGAAACUGGGUGAGUGGAAUUUUACAUAGAAAAAGGAAGUUAAAUUUAUGGUCUCUGCAUACAAAAAAAAAAUGUACAGAAUCCUUGCUUUCACAGGUAAUAAAUCUUAAGAUAUUUUUUAGGUAUUGUACAGCUGUUAGGCAAUGCAGGUCAUGUGGAUAUAUAUUCUAGUAAUACUUCUACAGGCAGUAAUUUUAAAAUUUAUUUCUCAUACAGUUUGAAAAUAUAUUUGAAGAAGUUGUAGGACAGUGUCUCUUUAAAUCUUUUUGGUAUGAAAUAGCAAUAAUGAGGGUUUUUUAGAUUAACAUUAUUAGCCUUUUUUUCAUGAAGGUAGUAUAUUCCUAGUGGUAACCUGUAUAUAACUAGGGUUUUUUUUCUAUGUACAUUUAUCCUAUAAUCCAAGAUUAAAAUACAGUCAUACCAGUAUGCAAAAUAUUACCCACUUAUAGUUUUAAAUGUUAAAUUACCUAAAACCUUUUUUUUUUUGCUAUGUGUUUCAUUUGAAGAUCUUAUGGUUUAGUUCUCCCUGGCAACCCUUUAAGAGAUGUUAUUGUCUACUCUUAUUUUACAUGUGAGGCAACUGAGAUAAAGAAAAUUAAACUGACCUAUACAAACUUACUCAAUUAUUAGCAGAGUUGAGAGCCCAAUCAUAGCUCUGCUGAAGAGAAACCUAAAACUCUGAGGUGGUUCAGGAUGGCAAGAUUCUGCAGAAGGUCUUCUGUUUGUGCUGCUAAAAUAUUUUCCUCAACAUUAAAAGUAAGAACAGGGAUUGUAAUAUUUAAAGCUAUGAAGUGGAAGGCAGUACUCAAACUUAUUUAUGCAACAGUAGCCUUUCAAAAACCUUAAACUGAGUCUGACAUUGAAAAAAAAUUUGCAAACUGUACCAUAAUUCUUACCUCCCAGAGAUAAAAGUAUGUUCUGAACUUCAGCUUGGGUUGAGCAACCCCUCAAUUUGCAGUUCUGAGCCAGGACCCUGAUGGCAAUGCAGCUGCUCAGGUCUCUAAUAACCAUCACUUCAAUCACCAUCAACAAUGAAUGUAAACUUUAGAACUGCCUUGAGCUAUACAACUAAUUUGAAUUUUUUGUGCAGUUCGAAAAAGAGGGGAUUAAUACAAAACAAUGUUAGAAAGAAAAAGCUCUUGACUUUGAAAUAACCAUUUUUCUUAGGGAACUUAAUGAAAAAUUUCCACAUGUAAUAUGAAUUUGACAAGCUGUGAUGUUUGUGCUGGAAAUAUUACUGAAGGGACACUAGACGGGUUAUCCUUUCGUCCUCCUUUGAAGCCAGUAGCUUCACAGCCAUCGAUUUCAAUCAGAACAGUAUUAUGGCAAGUACCUUGUAUAGCUGCUUUUACUCUGUUUUUUCUUUAUGGAAGAUAACGUUUAUGUGAUUGCACUACCAGUUUGUCUGCUUGUCUGUCUUUCCAGUAACUUUAAAAUGUAUUUUCCAAUUUUAAUCCAAUUUAAGAGGGUACUUGACUCAAACAUACUAAAUCCCUGUAGGUUUAAUGAAAAUAAGAAUCUGGGUAGAAGACCCUGAGUCCUACAAAGGCCAGUGCAGAGAGGGACUGACCUUUAAUCAUUCUGCUUGGUCUGCCCACCAACCAAGAGACAACAGCUUGCACAUCGUAGCAAACUAACCAUGAAACCCUGGGCUAAUCACAGGAUGUUCCAUAUUGUAAAACCUUAAUUUUAGAACUGGAGAUAAGGUGAUGUAGGGAAUGUAAAAUGAAUGACUAAAAUCUCAGAUUUUACCAGAAAUCAAACUUGGCCCUUAGAGCUUUCAGUGGCAAUAUAUUUGUCUUGUAUUUGAUGGAGAACAAAUACAAGUCUUCCCUUCAAGACCUGGAUCUCCUUUACUGACUUUCAAAGAGUUGCCCUUGUGGGAUAUGUUUGACCCAUUGAUAGUAUUAAAGUUUCAUUACUUGCUGACUCUUCUUUUAUAAUCUCUUAUGCGUACAGCUGCUGAGUAGUUAAAAUAGUUCAAUAUGAACAAAAUAAAUUCAGAAAGGAUAAGCUCUCAAUAGCCAUUGAGAACAACAAUCAAAUGCAACUUCUUGCAUGAGAAAUUCUUGAUUUUCUUAUUCACAGAAGGGGGAGUGUGCCAGAUAAAGGGUGACUUGGCUUGUACGUGGUUCUUGCAUCCUUCCCUGAGUGUCCUGUACUGGCUAAUGCUUGUUCUUUCUCAUUACUUUGGAAAAAACAAUGCAAUGCCAGGAACGGGUACAGGGCCAAACCCAUCUCUGCUCUCAGAACCCCACUGAAUAGUCACUGCAUUGAGAACAUACAAGAGAUUAAACUGAAAAGAAUAAACACUACAGUGGGUUGUUAUUUUGGAGAUAGGCCACUGGGCUAUAGGUGGACCUUUGGUCUGAGCAGCAUGGCCUUUCUUCAGUUCUCUGUUCUUGUAAGCUGUUGAAACUUGAUUAAAGGUCAUAUUUCAUUCAGAAGCCUCUGUCUGACACAUGGCAGCUCUCUAGGACCUGCAGCUAGGGUAGGGUUACCUGUGAUUUAUGAUGGCUCUGGAAAUUAUAACUAGUGCUGUCUAAGCACAGAAGAACUGAAAUCAUAAAUACACUGUUUAUAAAGUAAACCCUUCCCCAAAAAAGGAAGGUAAAACUAAAACUCGAAAAAUUCAGUUUCUUUGGAGUAUACUUUAGCUCUAGACUUGAGACCUGCUUGGGACUAUGUACUACAUGAUAUGACAUGCAUAAUUUUUUACGUUAGUUUCUUGUUUGAGUGAAAACUCAUAAAAUUCCUGUUGGAUGCCUUCUGGACUAUGAUGCUGUAUUAUUCUGCAGCAUCUGGAAACUAUGUAGUUCCAAUGAGUAUCUGCAUAUGACAAUGUCAAAACCAUGUGAAUGCGUAAAAUGUCUCAUCUAUGUAUGAUAAAAGAGGGGAUCAGAUGAGGUAGUGCAAACUAGUUCAUCAAAAGCAUUGGUACCAUUGUUGAAGUCAUCUGGCCUUGAAUAUUUGCGUAUCUGUCAUGGAAACACUUUAUGGUCAAAAUUGUGUUACGCUAUACACAGUAAUCCUACCACAUUAGUAUUUCUGAAAGUGGUUUUGUCCACUCUGAGGCAGAUAACGAGGACUUUCUAGAUAAUGAAGUAUCUCCAAUAAUUGAGUCAACUCCUGCAGAUUUUACUGUGUUAAGAGCCAUGUAAGAGCAAAUUAUGGGGGGCAAGAUGUAUUUUGUGGAGCAAAAUCCCAAAUGAUUCAUAUAAAAAGAAGAUUAAAGGUAGUCAGAGCACUUGCAAGACUGUCCCUUAUUUCUAACAAAAAUAUUUAUAUUACUUAAGAAUUAAACUAGAAAUACAUAUGACAAGGAGACUGCCCACAACUGUAUUCCCAAAUGAAAAUUAAUCUGAUGCGCUCUGCAGAUAUUGUUGGACAAAAUAAUUAUGAUAAUAUAUGAGGGAAAUAUUUGAAUAUUCCACAGUUUUCUUUAUGUGAGAGUCCACCUAAGAUGAGGCUGCAUAAGCCUUAAAAACAGAACUUAAACUUUAAGAUUGUU